UGUUAUUUAUCUAACAUCGAUAUCCACCGAAUAAAACAUCUUGCAACGGUUCCUAAAUACCAACCUUAGAAAAUUUUGAGCUCUAAAGAAAGAAUUUUAUCGUAUAGCUUUUUUUCAUUUGUGUCGCUAGCUUAACGAAUUAUCCCAAAAUAGAGAAUCAUUACUUUACUUAUUAUCCGGAUUGAUUGCGUUUGUGAAUGAGAAAGAAGGAUAUGUCUAUAGAUGCGUGACAAGAAGAACUUUGAUUUCUCUGAUGGUGUGGUAAUCGUGAAACUAGUUGUGUUGCUUCAGUGUUGAUGCGUCGAUAAUCUAACGGUUUGUGUGGAGGGCAAAGUUAUUCGCAGCGUGUCAAACAAUGUGCAAAUAAAGCAUUAUAGUAGCGCAAUUGCUGAGCUGUCGUGUUGCGACUUAAUGUACUCAAGCCGAGUCGUCUGUCAUCAAGUUCAUAGUAUAUCUUCUCGCUGGGGAGAAACUCGUGCUCAACCUGUCCGACUUUCGUGAUUUUUGUAAACACCAUUGCUUCUCUUCUAUAAAGGGCUUCCAAAGACAGCCCUUUGUUGCUGUUGUUCUUUUGUGAAAAAGAAAUUACUCGCCAUUCGCUUAGGUGACACCGGCGGCGCGAAUUAUUCACGAAAGCGUACGGUGAUCAAGUACAGUAUAAUCAUAUAGAUAACACUCACAAGUGGGUAUGUGACAAUGUGCUUGAGAGCUCAAGUGGCUCCGUAAGACCCGGUGCGCAAAUAAUAACACACUGUUAAUCCAGGGAGAAAGGCGGGCGAGUGAUCGAACACAGACACUCAAAGGCUCCCCACGAAACUCAUGAAUGGAAAAUAGUACAGGAAAAAGGCAGGAGGGUACAAGGUCGUAGCCCUGAGAAAUGGAGACCAUCGUUCCGGGCUUGUCCUCGCAGAAGCGCAUCUGUUUAGCAGAUAGUGGCUGAAUCCUCGUGCAGAUGAUACUAGGAGGUAUUGCCACGGAGUCAACACUGCAGAGAAAAGGAGAGAAAAAUGAAUGAGUUUCACCACGUCGUGACCACCGGCUCGUAGCGCGUUGAUUACUCACAAGAGCUUUUUAGAGCCCGUCUCCAGCGCGUUCUGCACGGAGAAUGAUAUAAGAGUGAGUCGUAUAAAUGUCGCAAAGCACCAUUUAGCCAUGUUUGUAUUGCGUAUCCAAACUGGGUGAGUACUCGUCAAGAUUGCUUCUUCAUAGACGUGCGCUGUGCCGGGUUUAUAAACCACACCGAUCACCCAAAAGUAGCGACUUCCCCACGAGCGCUGAUUGGCGGAGACCGGAAUUAAUAUAUCUGUAUGUUUAAUUUACUCCGCGGAACUGGACAAUUGAUGCAAUCUCACUCGCGAAUAUUGCUUUGCUGUACGUGGGAAAAGGUCCGCUACACUUGGUUGCCCACUGUGUUAUACUGGGACAAACGUAUCCUUCCGGUAUUCGACCGAUAUUGAGACGGACAAAAGGGGGCGAUCAGGGGACACGAGUAGAGAAACACGAGUUUUCUAACAGCACCCUCUCGGGGCCAGGUCUCUUUGCUGUAGACUCGAGACGGAGAUUAUAGUUAUUCAUAGAGCUUUAUUAGUGCUCUCAUUCUGAAUAUAAACAAUACGCAGACCUUAUAGGAAUCUCUUAAACAAAUAAAGUGGUUUACUCAUAUAGUUUGGCGCGGCAGAGGCGCUUUGAUGUACCGGUCGCUCUAUUGCUGAUCGAGUUCAGCUCCGCCGCCGCAAAAAUAUCUAAGCGAAUUUUCUCAAAGAGCGCGCGACUUCUUCCAAGCAACGCCGGUCUUCGUGCCGGAAUUAAAAAGCUACCACCCGUCUGAUAACGGAAGUGAACGGCAAUUGGAAAUCGUUUUUGGGUUUAACAAAAAGGAGUCGACCAUCUAGCCGAGUUAUAAAGAUAAACCAGCUGACCAGCGCUCGUAUUUCUCCGCCGAUCAUGUAUUAUAAGCCGAUCAUGUAUUCCAAGGCAGCCAAAUCUCGGGUUUAAUCAGAGUUGCGUGAUUCUGUGACGGUUACACACGACCCAAGGGACCCACGUAUGUACACUAUCUGUAUCUCCGUAGCCAGGACUAAGGCAAUCUUUUGGGGCCGACUAGUGAUGUAGCGCACGCUCGCACGGCAUUCUUAAGUUGGACCUCCUUAAACGAAUGACGCGGUCUACCGGAAACGUUUACAUCAGCACCCACUUACAGGGUGGUGAUCAUAACACAAUCCCCGUCCCGUAAACAUGCAACUCAAGUACACACUUAAAACUAUUACCUUAUUAUAAACUUGUUGUGCCCUGGGUGAUUAGAGCGUUUGUUCAAUGCGGGGGAUGAAUGGAUCUGCGCUUUGAUUUUCGUUGAGUAAAUUAACUUGAGAGUGUUGCCCUCAAA
Molecule: long non-coding RNA, 2383 nt
Organism: Nematostella vectensis (starlet sea anemone)
Lineage: Eukaryota; Metazoa; Cnidaria; Anthozoa; Actiniaria; Edwardsiidae
Exons: 2
Source: RefSeq, a predicted model, not a curated record